RNAcentral lists this unclassified non-coding RNA (804 nucleotides) under Hevea brasiliensis (rubber tree). Lineage: Eukaryota; Viridiplantae; Streptophyta; Magnoliopsida; Malpighiales; Euphorbiaceae. The record is from RNAcentral.
AUAAUAGACCGAGUCUACACAAGAAGAAAAAUUCUAUUAAUAUUUAGUUUAGUUAAUUUACUGUUAGAUCUAAAUUAUUGUCACUUGUAUAAAUUGAUAAUCAAUAUUAUAAGUGGAGGACUAAUUUCAUGAAUGAUUAUCCCUUAAAAAGUCUUUAGUACUUGAACAUUAUACACUUGAAGUAGGCAUUAGCCUACAAAAAUACAAGCGAAGAUAAAUUGGCCAUAUUAUAAUACAUCACAUUCAUGGACCUUUAUUAAUUGAAUACAUUCUUUUUUAUUUGCAUCAUUAUUGCAGCUAGCCACGAACUACUUCCUCCAUAAGUAACAUAAUUUUCCAAUCUCAUGGCCCAUUGAGAAUGAAAUAAGGAGCAGGUGGAGUUGGGAGAGAAAAAGAGGGGAAGAAAGGUGGAGGAAGUAGCUCAGGAGGCAACUUCACAACUGGUGGCACAGGAAAAUCAUUUGGAGUUUUAGGCAAUCGAGGAAGAUCCAAUGGAGGGAACAUGCCAAAUAGUUGCUGCAGCCGACGACCUGCCGACGCAACUCCUAUGCUUGAAAACGACAAUGUGAUCAACAAAACCAAGAUCAAGAAACGGGAAGAAGCCAUUAAAGAAAGGUGUAAAAGAAGAGUCAGAAGAGGAGUGAAGGGAGUGGUGCUUCUCUUAUUAGGUAUUUAUAGGCAUAAAUAUGUUAGACAUGCUUGGAUGAGUGUAAAUGCACUGUUAGCUUAGCCUCUAGGUUUGGUGAUGACCAUUCCAAUAAUAAAAGUCAAUAUUUGUGUAAGACAAUAAGAAAUAAAGAGGAG